UUGGGCGAGGAGAUUUGAGGAGACAUAUGUUGAAUUGAAUCAUUCGAGCAGCGGACGGGUGAGUAAAGCACAAGGACUUGUCCGAAAGAGAGGGACACCUGCGGGAAACCGGAGCUAAUACCUCAUAAGCCGGAAGGUGAAAAGCAGAGAUGCGCUUUUGGAGAGACUUGUGUCCUAUCAGGCAGUUGGUGAGGUGAAAGCUCACCAAACCGAAGACGGGUAGCCGGACUGAGAGGUCGACCGGCCACAUUGGAACUGAGAGACGGUCCAGACUCCUACGGGAGGCAGCAGUGGGGAAUAUUGGGCAAUGGGCGGAAGCCUGACCCAGCGACGCCGCGUGAGGGAAGACAGCCUUCGGGUUGUAAACCUCUGUUACAGGGGAAGAAGGAAGUGACGGUACCCUGCGAGGAAGCUCCGGCUAACUACGUGCCAGCAGCCGCGGUAAUACGUAGGGAGCGAGCGUUGUCCGGAAUUACUGGGCGUAAAGGGCGCGUAGGCGGCGCUUCAAGUCGUCUGUCAAAUGGAAGGGCUUAACCCUUUUUCGCAGACGAAACUGGAGAGCUUGAGAAGCAGAGAGGCAAACAGAAUUCCUGGUGUAGCGGUGAAAUGCGUAGAUAUCAGGAAGAAUACCAGUGGCGAAGGCGGUUUGCUGGCUGCAUACUGACGCUGAAGCGCGAAAGCCAGGGGAGCGAACGGGAUUAGAUACCCCGGUAGUCCUGGCAGUAAAC
Molecule: ribosomal RNA, 728 nt
Filed under: uncultured bacterium
Lineage: Bacteria
Description: bacterial SSU rRNA
Rfam family: Bacterial small subunit ribosomal RNA
Source: RNAcentral